UUUUAUGGAGAGUUUGAUCCUGGCUCAGGACGAACGCUGGCGGCGUGCCUAAUACAUGCAAGUCGAGCGAACAGAGAAGGAGCUUGCUCCUUUGACGUUAGCGGCGGACGGGUGAGUAACACGUGGGCAACCUACCUUAUAGUUUGGGAUAACUCCGGGAAACCGGGGCUAAUACCGAAUAAU
RNAcentral lists this ribosomal RNA (183 nucleotides) under Lysinibacillus sphaericus. RNAcentral's name for it is "partial 16S ribosomal RNA". It matches the Rfam family "Bacterial small subunit ribosomal RNA", at positions 1 to 177 of the family's 1533-position model. The record is from RNAcentral. Lineage: Bacteria; Bacillati; Bacillota; Bacilli; Caryophanales; Bacillaceae.